UACGAAGGGGGCUAGCGUUGCUUGGAAUCACUGGGCGUAAAGGGUGCGUAGGCGGGUCUUUAAGUCAGGGGUGAAAUCCUGGAGCUCAACUCCAGAACUGCCUUUGAUACUGAAGAUCUUGAGUUCGGGAGAGGUGAGUGGAACUGCGAGUGUAGAGGUGAAAUUCGUAGAUAUUCGCAAGAACACCAGUGGCGAAGGCGGCUCACUGGCCCGAUACUGACGCUGAGGCACGAAAGCGUGGGGAGCAAACAGG
RNAcentral lists this ribosomal RNA (253 nucleotides) under uncultured bacterium. RNAcentral describes it as "partial 16S ribosomal RNA". It matches the Rfam family "Bacterial small subunit ribosomal RNA", at positions 524 to 776 of the family's 1533-position model. The record is from RNAcentral.